GACGAACGCUGGCGGCGUGCCUAAUACAUGCAAGUAGAACGCUGAAGAGAGGAGCUUGCUCUUCUUGGAUGAGUUGCGAACGGGUGAGUAACGCGUAGGUAACCUGCCUUGUAGCGGGGGAUAACUAUUGGAAACGAUAGCUAAUACCGCAUAACAAUGGAUGACACAUGUCAUUUAUUUGAAAGGGGCAAUUGCUCCACUACAAGAUGGACCUGCGUUGUAUUAGCUAGUAGGUGAGGUAAUGGCUCACCUAGGCGACGGUACAUAGCCGACCUGAGAGGGUGAUCGGCCACACUGGGACUGAGACACGGCCCAGACUCCUACGGGAGGCAGCAGUAGGGAAUCUUCGGCAAUGGGGGCAACCCUGACCGAGCAACGCCGCGUGAGUGAAGAAGGUUUUCGGACCGUAAAGCUCUGUUGUAAGUCAAGAACGGGUGUGAGAGUGGAAAGUUCACACUGUGACGGUAGCUUACCAGAAAGGGACGGCUAACUACGUG
RNAcentral lists this ribosomal RNA (497 nucleotides) under uncultured bacterium. RNAcentral's name for it is "partial 16S ribosomal RNA". It matches the Rfam family "Bacterial small subunit ribosomal RNA", at positions 28 to 507 of the family's 1533-position model. The record is from RNAcentral.